Molecule: long non-coding RNA, 1024 nt
Organism: Gasterosteus aculeatus aculeatus (three-spined stickleback)
Lineage: Eukaryota; Metazoa; Chordata; Actinopteri; Perciformes; Gasterosteidae
Source: Ensembl
CCAGCGUUACCCUCUCCGACUCCAAUACAUUCCGGUAGUGCCGCCCUUUACCCCUUCGUUGUCUACGCAGGGACAGCUGCUCACCAUCAUGGACCUGCGUGAGCUCCUUUUAAUGGCCGUCACAGGCAGCAGGACAAAAUGCAGGCCUGCCAGCGUAAACGGCCCACUGAGUCAGGAACAUUUAUAGCCAACGUAUGUUAGACAUGCAGGAGAUUGGACACGCUGGUUGGUGCGUAACAUUGGACAGUGAGACAACGAGACAAAUAACAAGGCUUCUCUGUAGAGGGUAAAUGACUGGACGGGAUAAAAGAACAGAUUCUUUAUCAACAAAAUGAAGCACUGAAUGCUAAAUGACCUGCACUGUGUACGGAUAUGCGCACAGACCCAAAUUAAAACAGUGCUUGACAACUAAAGAGGGAAUUCCAUGAAAAAGGAAAAACACAGGCCUCAACGUUUUUCUGGAUUUCUUUUUCUAGGACAGUGAUUCCCGACCGGUCUCAUUUAAACCCGCAGCUCUCGUCAGAUCAACGAAGAUACGCCUUCAUUUACAACAUUAAAUGUUUUGAAACGGGAUGUUAUCCAAAAGGAUUCAUUAUAUAAAAAGUCACAGCAAUUGGUCAAACAACUGAAAAGUCAGUUAAUUGGAAUUUGCAUCAGCAAAACCACCACCUGCAGGGCAGAAGUUGGAUGUUUCAUUUACAACUACCAAUAGUAAUCUACUAUACAAGCUAUUCACGCCAUUUAUUCCUUUACCUUCAGUUAUGGUACAAAUAACCUAGUGGGUGAAAGACUGUUCCAUAAAUCAAGCUCAAUCCUUUAAAUUUUGUAUUUUUGAAUAAUUUGAAUAAUAAAUUAUUGUCCUGUCACAGAUACGCCGAUGUAAGAUCAAAAUAUAAUAGUAGGUUGUGUGUGUGUGUGUGUGUGCGGUCAGGUGCAUCCCAAAAAAACUGACUCUGCUGUUAAAAAAGCUGCUGACUCAAAGGACAAAGAUUAGUCUUGUUACAAAUUUAUUACAACGUAUUAC